GACAGAAGUGAAAUCUCUAAAUUUUAAUAUGUCUGUUAGUAGUAUGGAAUAUAUUCCUGAGGGAGAGAUUUUGGUUAUAACUUAUGGACGAUCUAUUGCUUUUCAUAGUGCAGUAAGUUUGGACCCAAUUAAAUCCUUUGAAGCUCCUGCAACCAUCAAUUCUGCAUCUCUUCAUCCUGAGAAAGAAUUUCUUGUUGCAGGCGGUGAAGAUUUUAAACUUUAUAAGUAUGAUUAUAAUAGUGGAGAAGAAUUAGAAUCCUACAAGGGACACUUUGGUCCUAUUCACUGUGUGAGAUUUAGUCCUGAUGGAGAACUCUAUGCCAGUGGUUCAGAAGAUGGAACAUUGAGACUAUGGCAAACUGUGGUAGGAAAAACGUAUGGCCUUUGGAAAUGUGUGCUUCCUGAAGAUAGUGGUGAGCUGGCAAAGCCAAAGAUUGGUUUUCCAGAGACAACAGAAGAGGAGCUAGAAAUUGCUUCAGAGAAUUCAGAUUGCAUCUUUCCUUCAGCUCCUGAUGUUAAGGCCUGAGCGUCAAUCAUAUGUGCAGUUAGUAUACAACUGACUAAAACAAGCAAGCAGAGAAAAGCAUCAGCCUUCCAGAGUUACUGUCUGCUUAAGGCAGAAACAGCAGUAAAUAAUGAGGAAAAUGAAUUAGCUCCAGUGCUGGAACAACUAACUAACUUGGUGUUACCUGUAAGUGAAAACUCAAGUGUCAGAUGAAGGGAGGUGGAGUUAUCCUCUUAUAGUACAGUGGCCUGUUAUCUUUUUAAUGAAUAUAUACAAGCCAACAUCCAAUUUCUAUUAUUACAAUUAGGGUUCUUGUAGCUGUUUAUGUUAAUAUGGAGAAGAAAACUAUAUUGGCUGAUUUUUUCUGAUCUUAAAGCAGAAUGCCUUUUCUUUUUUUGCUUCAGUUGUAAAGAAGAGGGAAUACAUGAUAAAGUAACUGGUUUGAUUUCUCGUUCAUUGUACACUGCCUCUGAACAUCUAAUUGUUUUUAGUUGUCUAAAUAAAAUGCCUCUAAA
RNAcentral lists this long non-coding RNA (1020 nucleotides) under Homo sapiens (human). RNAcentral describes it as "long non-coding RNA NONHSAT161896.1". The record is from RNAcentral. Lineage: Eukaryota; Metazoa; Chordata; Mammalia; Primates; Hominidae.